UAGUCCACGCCGUAAACGAUGAUAACUAGCUGUCGGGUUUCCUAAUAGACUCGGUGACGUAGCUAACGCAUUAAGUAUCCCGCCUGGGGAGUACGGUCGCAAGAUUAAAACUCAAAGGAAUUGACGGGGGCCCGCACAAGCGGUGGAGCAUGUGGUUUAAUUCGAUGCUACGCGAAAAACCUUACCUGGACUUGACAUCCCGGGCUACCCUAGGAAACUAGGGGUUCUCUUCGGAGACCCGGUGACAGGUGCCGCAUGGCUGUCGUCAGCUCGUGUUGUGAGAUGUUGGGUUAAGUCCCGCAACGAGCGCAACCCUCGUCGUUAGUUACCAUCAUUAAGUUGGGCACUCUAACGAGACCGCUAGGCUAUAAGCCAGAGGAAGGUGGGGAUGACGUCAAGUCCUCAUGGCCUUUAUGUCCAGGGCUACACACGUGCUACAAUGGAAAGUACAAUACGCUGCUACUUCGCGAGGAGAUGCUAAUCGUAAAAAACUUUUCUCAGUUCGGAUUGGAGUCUGCAACUCGACUCC
Molecule: ribosomal RNA, 529 nt
Filed under: uncultured bacterium
Lineage: Bacteria
Description: bacterial SSU rRNA
Rfam family: Bacterial small subunit ribosomal RNA
Source: RNAcentral